GACGAACGCUGGCGGCGUGCCUAAUACAUGCAAGUAGAACGCACAGUUUAUACCGUAGCUUGCUACACCAUAGACUGUGAGUUGCGAACGGGUGAGUAACGCGUAGGUAACCUGCCUGGUAGCGGGGGAUAACUAUUGGAAACGAUAGCUAAUACCGCAUAAUAUUAAUUAUUGCAUGAUAAUUAAUUGAAAUGUGCAAUUGCACCACUACCAGAUGGACCUGCGUUGUAUUAGCUAGUAGGUGAGGUAACGGCUCACCUAAGCGACGAUACAUAGCCGACCUGAGAGGGUGAUCGGCCACACUGGGACUGAGACACGGCCCAGACUACUACGGGAGGCAGCAGUAGGGAAUCUUCGGCAAUGGAAGAAAGUCUGACCGAGCAACGACGCGUGAGAGAAGAAGGUUUUCGGAUCGUAAAGCUCUGUUGUAAGAGAAGAACGGGUGUGAGAGUGGAAAGUUCACACUGUGACGGUAUCUGACCAGAAAGGGACGGCUAACUACGUG
This 505-nucleotide ribosomal RNA is filed under the name uncultured bacterium. RNAcentral's name for it is "partial 16S ribosomal RNA". It matches the Rfam family "Bacterial small subunit ribosomal RNA", at positions 28 to 507 of the family's 1533-position model. The record is from RNAcentral.